GAUCCUGGCUCAGGAUGAACGCUAGCUACAGGCUUAACACAUGCAAGUCGAACGGAGAAUUUUAUUUCGGUAGAAUUCUUAGUGGCGAACGGGUGAGUAACGCGUAGGCAACCUGCCCUUUAGACGGGGACAACAUUCCGAAAGGAGUGCUAAUACCGGAUGUGAUCAUCUUGCCGCAUGGCAGGAUGAAGAAAGAUGGCCUCUACAAGUAAGCUAUCGCUAAAGGAUGGG
Molecule: ribosomal RNA, 231 nt
Filed under: uncultured bacterium
Lineage: Bacteria
Description: partial 16S ribosomal RNA
Rfam family: Bacterial small subunit ribosomal RNA
Source: RNAcentral